This 353-nucleotide RNase P RNA is filed under the name human oral metagenome. RNAcentral's name for it is "Bacterial RNase P class A". It matches the Rfam family "Bacterial RNase P class A". From Rfam's summary of the family: Ribonuclease P (RNase P) is a ubiquitous endoribonuclease, found in archaea, bacteria and eukarya as well as chloroplasts and mitochondria. Its best characterised activity is the generation of mature 5'-ends of tRNAs by cleaving the 5'-leader elements of precursor-tRNAs. The record is from RNAcentral.
CCGGCUGGGCGGCCGCGCGCGGAAACGCUCGAGGAACGUCCGGGCUCCACAGGGCAGGGUGAUGGCUAACAGCCACCCGGGGUAACCCGCGGGACAGUGCCACAGAAAACAAACCACCGGCGCGCAUGCGUCGGUAAGGGUGAAAAGGUGAGGUAAGAGCUCACCAGCGGCGCGGGUGACCGCGUCGGCUAGGUAAACCCCACCCGGAGCAAGACCGAGCAGCAGGCAGGGCGGCCCGUCCAAUGCCUGCGGGUAGGUUGCUGGAGGCCGUCGGUAACGACGGUCCUAGAUAGAUGGUCGCCACCGUACGACCGGUAACGGCGUGCGUGACAGAACCCGGCGUAUAGGCCGAC